Molecule: ribosomal RNA, 200 nt
Filed under: uncultured bacterium
Lineage: Bacteria
Description: partial 16S ribosomal RNA
Rfam family: Bacterial small subunit ribosomal RNA
Source: RNAcentral
GAUGAACGCUAGCGGCAGGCUUAAUACAUGCAAGUCGAACGGUAAAUAUUAUAGCAAUAUAAUAUGAGAGUGACGUACGGGUGCGUAACACGUAUGCAACCUACCCUUUACAAGAGUAUAGCUCGGGGAAACUCGAAUUAACCCUUCAUAGUAUUAUUGAGUGGCAUCACUUGGUUAUUAAAAUCGCAAGAUGGUAAAGG